UACAGAGGUCUCAAGCGUUGUUCGGAAUCACUGGGCUUAAAGGGUGCGUAGGCGGGCGAUCAAGUCAGGGGUGAAAGCCUCCAGCUCAACUGGAGAAGUGCCUUUGAUACUGGUCGUCUCGAGGGAGGUAGGGGCGUGCGGAACUUCCGGUGGAGCGGUGAAAUGCGUAGAUAUCGGAAGGAACACCAGUGGCGAAAGCGGCGCGCUGGACCUCUUCUGACGCUGAGGCACGAAAGCCAGGGGAGCAAACGGG
Molecule: ribosomal RNA, 253 nt
Filed under: uncultured bacterium
Lineage: Bacteria
Description: partial 16S ribosomal RNA
Rfam family: Bacterial small subunit ribosomal RNA
Source: RNAcentral